Molecule: ribosomal RNA, 257 nt
Filed under: uncultured Gardnerella sp.
Lineage: Bacteria; Bacillati; Actinomycetota; Actinomycetes; Bifidobacteriales; Bifidobacteriaceae
Description: partial 16S ribosomal RNA
Rfam family: Bacterial small subunit ribosomal RNA
Source: RNAcentral
CGAACGGGUGAGUAAUGCGUGACCAACCUGCCCCAUGCUCCAGAAUAGCUCUUGGAAACGGGUGGUAAUGCUGGAUGCUCCAACUUGACGCAUGUCUUGUUGGGAAAGUGUUUAGUGGCAUGGGAUGGGGUCGCGUCCUAUCAGCUUGUAGGCGGGGUAAUGGCCCACCUAGGCUUCGACGGGUAGCCGGCCUGAGAGGGCGGACGGCCACAUUGGGACUGAGAUACGGCCCAGACUCCUACGGGAGGGCAGCAGGC